AUUGAACGCUAGCGGGAUGCUUUACACAUGCAAGUCGAACGGCAGCGCGGACUUCGGUCUGGCGGCGAGUGGCGAACGGGUGAGUAAUGUAUCGGAACGUGCCCAGUAGCGGGGGAUAACUACGCGAAAGCGUAGCUAAUACCGCAUACGCCCUACGGGGGAAAGCAGGGGAUCGUAGGACCUUGCACUAUUGGAGCGGCCGAUAUCGGAUUAGCUAGUUGGUGAGGUAACGGCUCACCAAGGCGACGAUCCGUAGCUGGUUUGAGAGGACGACCAGCCACACUGGGACUGAGACACGGCCCAGACUCCUACGGGAGGCAGCAGUGGGGAAUUUUGGACAAUGGGGGCAACCCUGAUCCAGCCAUCCCGCGUGUGCGAUGAAGGCCUUCGGGUUGUAAAGCACUUUUGGCAGGAAAGAAACGUCGCGGGCUAAUACCCCGUGGAACUGACGGUACCUGCAGAAUAAGCACCGGCUAACUACGUG
Molecule: ribosomal RNA, 484 nt
Filed under: uncultured bacterium
Lineage: Bacteria
Description: partial 16S ribosomal RNA
Rfam family: Bacterial small subunit ribosomal RNA
Source: RNAcentral